GACGAACGCUGGCGGCGUGCUUAACACAUGCGAGUCGAACGGAAAGGCCCUGCUUUUGUGGGGUGCUCGAGUGGCGAACGGGUGAGUAACACGUGAGUAACCUACCCUUGACUUUGGGAUAACUUCAGGAAACUGGGGCUAAUACCGGAUAGGAGCUCCUGCUGCAUGGUGGGGGUUGGAAAGUUUCGGCGGUUGGGGAUGGACUCGCGGCUUAUCAGCUUGUUGGUGGGGUAGUGGCUUACCAAGGCUUUGACGGGUAGCCGGCCUGAGAGGGUGACCGGCCACAUUGGGACUGAGAUACGGCCCAGACUCCUACGGGAGGCAGCAGUGGGGAAUAUUGCACAAUGGGCGGAAGCCUGAUGCAGCAACGCCGCGUGCGGGAUGAAGGCCUUCGGGUUGUAAACCGCUUUCGCCUGUGACGAAGCGUGAGUGACGGUAAUGGGUAAAGAAGCACCGGCUAACUACGUG
Molecule: ribosomal RNA, 468 nt
Filed under: uncultured bacterium
Lineage: Bacteria
Description: partial 16S ribosomal RNA
Rfam family: Bacterial small subunit ribosomal RNA
Source: RNAcentral